This 1270-nucleotide long non-coding RNA is filed under the name Fukomys damarensis (Damara mole-rat). RNAcentral's name for it is "lncRNA (ENSFDAG00000029053.1)". The record is from RNAcentral. Lineage: Eukaryota; Metazoa; Chordata; Mammalia; Rodentia; Bathyergidae.
GGGCCCUGCGUGCACCUGCCAGUCCAACAGAUGGCACAUCUGCCCUACCUCAGGUCUACAGGGACCACCAGGAGGAAGGAGACCCAGGCUCCGGGCAGAGCUGCUUGGCUGCUCGGAAAUCACUGGCCCCACGCAGCUGUGUAAACAUCAGCGAACUGAAACGAAAUAAAAUUAAAAACCGACUUCCUUCUUGCACAACCCCAUUCCAAGUGCUUGGGAGCAGCCGCCUAUGGACCCCCGCUCUCACUGGGCAGGCUCUCUCGGAGGCCCUGGGGCUGCUCAGCUCCGGGGAGAGCUGGGGGUUGGGCAAGCUCAGAGGAAGGCUGCUUGGCCAACCCGUGGUUCAUUAACAGACUUCCAGAAACUCUGAGUCCAUCUACCCUAUCUUUCGAUCUGGAUUUUUAAAAGUUUUUGUUUCAGAGCCCUGCUCUGGGGUGCCCUGUAGACGCUGUUCUGGAAUGGUUAGGAGAAGAAUCGUCCUGAACACUGUUUAGGCCCGUGGCAUGGGCUGCUGCGGGGGAGAGGAAAGGCCUCCAUUGCAGCUGGUUUUUGGGUGCUCACAGCUUAAUGGACAGAGAGUGGCUACCCCAGUACAGAAAGUCCAAGCGCACACCUCAGCAGUUCAGGUGAGCAGCUGGGGCGGCUCUCGAGGGGAGGACAAUCACGUUGCUGAAGGUUUUUAUCACCAGCAUGCCACGCUGACCACGUGGUAAGGAUCCCAACUUGGGGGCCUCCCCUGUGCCUUGACAUUGGGCUUAUGUCCAUCUGGACACGCCACUGUCACCCCAAACUCCGCACAUCCAGAGUGGAAAGCGCCUUUCCAAAUCCUGUGCCUUCUGUCUCGCUGCCACCAGGUGGUGGUCCCUUCAGACCCGGCAACCUGCGCCUUUCACGGAAGACAUUCCAGAGUCCUGUCAGCCUCUCCCUGCCUUUGUCCCCCUAGAUUAUCUGCCUGCCCAUUUCUUUACUGACUUUGUUACAAGCUCUGGGAUAUAGGCCCAUGCUUGUCCUGGUGCUUGGCUGCAGGAGGCCCGUGAGUUCCUUAAUACUGUGGUUCUCUCCGAACGGUGAUUGACAGAUGGUGCUUGGAUGACCCAUGACCCCAAGAGAAGAAAUGAACUUGAGAAAAUUCUGGAGAUGAAUCCUCAAAGCAGGGGUCGCUGAAUGUUUCCUUAAAGGGUCAGGAGGUGACUCGGGAGGUUUCCUCAGGUGGGAGCUGUACCAUUGUGACAUCUGUCCCUGACAGAGACCCACUCUGUGUGUGUGUGUG